This 460-nucleotide ribosomal RNA is filed under the name uncultured bacterium. Its description in RNAcentral is "partial 16S ribosomal RNA". It matches the Rfam family "Bacterial small subunit ribosomal RNA", at positions 338 to 795 of the family's 1533-position model. The record is from RNAcentral.
CCUACGGGUGGCAGCAGUGAGGAAUAUUGGUCAAUGGACGAGAGUCUGAACCAGCCAAGUAGCGUGAAGGAUGACUGCCCUAUGGAUUGUAAACUUCUUUUGUAUGGGAGUAAAAUGUUCCACGUGUGGCAUUUUGUGUGUACCCUAUGAAUAAGCAUCGGCUAACUCCGUGCCAGCAGCCGCGGUAAUACGGCGGAUCCGAGCGUUAUCCGGAUUUAUUGGGUUUAAAGGGAGCGUAGGUGGGUUGUUAAGUCAGUUGUGAAAGUCUGGGGCUCAACCGUAAAAUUGCAGUUGAAACUGGCAGUCUUGAGUACAGUAGAGGUAGGCGGAAUUCGUGGUGUAGCGGUGAAAUGCGUAGAUAUCACGAAGAACUCCGAUUGCGAAGGCAGCUUACUGGACUGCAACUGACACUGAGGCUCGAAAGUGUGGGUAUCAAACAGGAUUAGAUACCCGAGUAGUC